UACGUAGGGCGCAAGCGUUAUCCGGAAUUAUUGGGCGUAAAGAGCUCGUAGGCGGUUUGUCGCGUCUGCCGUGAAAGUCCGGGGCUCAACUCCGGAUCUGCGGUGGGUACGGGCAGACUAGAGUGAUGUAGGGGAGACUGGAAUUCCUGGUGUAGCGGUGAAAUGCGCAGAUAUCAGGAGGAACACCGGUGGCGAAGGCGGCUUCCUGGACACUAACUGACGCUGAGACGCGAAAGCGUGGGGAGCAAACAGG
RNAcentral lists this ribosomal RNA (253 nucleotides) under uncultured bacterium. RNAcentral describes it as "partial 16S ribosomal RNA". It matches the Rfam family "Bacterial small subunit ribosomal RNA", at positions 524 to 776 of the family's 1533-position model. The record is from RNAcentral.